Molecule: long non-coding RNA, 4304 nt
Organism: Columba livia (rock pigeon)
Lineage: Eukaryota; Metazoa; Chordata; Aves; Columbiformes; Columbidae
Exons: 7
Source: RefSeq, a predicted model, not a curated record
AAAAUAAAAAAAGAAAAGGAGGAGGGAAAGAAGAAAAAGGGGAAUUUUUGGUGCUACGGGCUGUCCCGGGGUCCCCGAAGUGCCUCCCUGCCAAAGGGGCUGGAGCUCACAGCAUCUCCCAGAGGGCUUGCCGGUACCCUGGAAGGACUUGCCAGUGGAUUGGUGGCUGCUGUAGUCAUGGUGAUGGAGGGAGAGAGCCGAGACAGCACAGAAAUGUCACUGCUUGGCAGGAGGACGUUUGGGGCAAAUGCUCGGGCGAUUAGAUCUGUGUCACCGGGUGCUGCCUGGCUUCUCGCGCUGUUUUUGCUGCUCUCAAAGCCGUUUAGCGGUGGCUUGGCAGAGGAGGUUAUCUUGAACACGCUGCUGUCCAGAAACUGCCAGCAUCUGAAGAGGUUCCAUGGCAAGAGGAGCCACGAAAACUUGGUCUGACACUCUUUAGCCCAGCCUGGGGGUGAUAACCCAGGGGUUUCUGCAGGGGAAGAAACCACGGAAGUUCAAAAGAGAAAGUGAAACAGCCACAAAGCUGCAAGUAGAGAAAAGUGAAAGGGGUCAGAAGUGGUCUGGUCAUCAUAGGGAUUGGGCCAAGGCCAGAAACAGUCUGCUUGUCAGCAGGAGAACCUACAGCCCUGUUGUUCCCAGGCAUCCCAAUAGAAGUGAGGAGCCUCCAAAGAGAAAAUCUCAGCAUGCAGAAGCAGCUACAGGAGUCUCCUGACAGCCAGCAAGUUCUGGGGAGGCUGCCAGGGUGAACAGAUUCUUGGCUUAACCUUCUGGACAUCUGAGGUUGGCAAAGCUACAGCAGGGUGUUAAAGGACACUUGGAAGGUCAUCAAAUAUUUGCAAAGUGCCUUGGCACAGCUGGCUCGAUGCUGUGAAUGUCCACAUGCUGGCAGGACGUGCCACCAUGCGUCAGGCCAUAAACGUAAAAACCCCAAAAUGUUACACUGAAAAAUUCCCGCCCUGUACCCCCACCACAGACACAUGAGGCUGUCGAAGUUGCUUUCAGGGUCUUGGGUGUCUCUUCACUUAAUUUAGGCACCGAAACAGAAGAAGGGAAGGAUCUUCCUCUCUGACUUCACUCAUGCUGUUGACAUUCAUUGCAGGAUUGGUUUACUGAGCAGGUGGAAUUUGGGUGGCAAAUCAGUACUUUGCUCCACAGCGUGACCUUGCAGCAGCUGCUUCCCUGAGUGUGACUGUGUUUGUUCGGAUGGGAAGAAGAGUCUAUGCCCAUCUGUCCCUGUGUGUUCCUGCAGUGCUUGGUGCUGACAGAGGAAAUGUAGCUAUAAUGCCAAAAGAAACCCCAACCAAAACAUUUCAAGCUUCCAAACACAUGAUAUAUGAGGAAAUCACGUCAAGAGCCCAGCAAGUGUUGCAGAGUAAUGCUGCUUCCAGUGUAACAUCCCAGCAGGGUUCAGAUGGAAGUUGCUAGUACCAUCUGAUAAUGGCUUUGCCCGGAGAGCGGCGUGGGUCCUGUGCGGGGACCGCGUCCCCAAGGGUGUGAGCAAGCUGCUCUCCCCACUACUUCUGCUGCUCCCGUUGCAUUUGGCAGCGUGGGAUAAAGUGUCACCACCAGACCGCGAUGGACGGGUGCCCUUUGUGUAGCCGGGAUGUGGCUGUACACCUAUCACAACAAUCCCGGUGGGAAAGGGAAUAACUGGUUGAAGGACACUGUCUCAUUUCAUCUAGUGAAAGGAGAUGCAAAUGAAAAAUUUUUGAGAAAUAUUUGUAUUUAUGUAUCCAAGUAUGAUGUUUGCUUUGAUUACAACAGCAGGAUAUUAUUGAUUCACGUUACCUUUGUGAGCUUCUAUAUCUACAAAAUACCUUCUGGGAGAGAUUGCUGCCUAUCAGAAAAUGUUUUUAUUUCGGGGAGACUUCACCUCCAAGAAGUCCUGGUUUUCAAAGGAGCUUGAAGUUUCAAAUCAGAAAGGCGAAGCUGGCUGAAGGAUGUGUCUUCUCAAGGCUGCCUGGCUAAGCGAGCAGCCCAUGGCAGAUGGGUUUUAUUGCUGGUGGCUGGGAGCUUUAAAUGGAAAUUCCAUAUUGGACCCCAGUUAAGGGGCUGCCCAUGGGAGGAGAUGCUGUGUUGCCUAGGGACAGGGGGACACCCCAGCAGGGACCCAGCUGGACACCCCCGGGAUCAUCUCUUGCUGCUCAUGGGUUUUCUCUCCAUCUCCUACUUCUAAAAGGAUUUUGCACCCUAUUUGUGAUGGAGCUGGCAAGCAUCAGCAACAAAAACGGAUGCAGCUGUUGUUACAGGAAUAAUUAUCGGUUUAUUAACAGAAAAAUUACAGACUAUUUUGCAGUUUGGGCAGAAGUUCAGAGCCCAAACUGGAAUCAGUGCUUUCAACAAGAGACACAUUGAGUGUGAGAAGAGAGACAGAGGUCUGCCGUGGGCUGUCCCUGCUGCGGGAGAGAAGGGCUGACCAGUAGGCACUGAGGUGCAGGCGACUGAGCAGGGCUGGCAACAGUCACAGAUCUGGCCAGGACACAAGUGCCAAUGCAGGAUUUGGUAAGGAGGAAGCUGGUGGGACCUCCAGAUGUUCCCAGGCCAAGUCAGCUCUUACGACAGGGCAAGAGGACACCAGCAAAGAGGCACGGCCAUGCUUGCGGAGCAGAUGGCAAUGGGUCCGUGCACUGCCAUCCAGGCUACCUGCGCCCAGGCUGAAAAGGGCUUUCUGCUGGUGGAAGAAGCACAGAAAUCAGGAAUCCUCAUCCCCAAAUCCGGUCUUGCAUCUUUCACCCCAGAGAAACAUUGUCCCGUCCCUUGCUCAGUCCCUCCCUCCGGUGAAGGCAGGAGAUUCUCCAGCUUCAGCGGAUUUUCUUCAGAUAGAUGUGAAUCCCAUUCUUGGAGCGAAGGAUGAUCUGAGCAGAAAAAGGCAGAAAGGCGUGAGAGUGUCUGCCAGAGAUGUUCUCCGGGGAAAACCGCCACGGGUCAAACACCUGGAAAUGAAGAAUACGCAGCAAGAAAACACGAUUACUUAAGGAGUAAAGGUACUGACCAAUGUUUCCAGAAAUGCAACACCCCAUAAUUUCUGAACAAUGCCAUUGGAGAGAGGAUUCAAUUUGAGAUGGACUGCAAUUCCUACACCAGACUCCCUCGCUUUCCCCUAAGCCUGGUAAUGGUGCUGCCAAGACAAACCAGAUGUAGACAUGGUGAAAGCCAAGAAGCCAGGAGUCGAUUCUCCACAUAUAGGCUGAGCAAAAUCAUCUUUGUGUUUGGUAAUACAAGAAGGUCUUUGGAGCACUUUAUCUCACUGUUUGGGCAGCACUAAGCCCUAACACUGCUGUCUGACCACCUGGUGCCACAGUUGGCUGAUACUAAUGCAAGGAGGUCACUUCUUAGAGUGAUUCCUGUGGGCAAAGAUGCUUGGGAGCAAGGGGAGGGCUCUGCUCUCCUGCUAACAUUGGAAGAGGCACAGCAUAAAGGGGAAAAAUUAUUAGAAGGGCAAAAGAAAACUCACCAAAGGGUCUUUCCAUACUGAGGGGUUUCUGUGAAUGAGAUAAAUGCUUAUCGUGGCGACAGUGCCUGUAAAACAAUUAGGGAGGAGAUAAGGGCUCAGUCACAAAGAAACUAAAGAGAAGGUUGCAGCAUGCUCACACAAAGGUCUGGCUAAGUCAUUAUGGUCUUACCUGUCAACUGGAAACCUAUAAGGAUUUUGUCACUGGCUUUAGAGAAAACUAAACAUUUUCCAUUUGUCGUAAGCAGACAAAGGGUGGAAAUGAGGAAGCCACCAGCACUGUAGGCACAUCAUCCCCACCCUGACACUGCCCACUUGUGUGCCAAAUCAGAGAAGGAAAGGAACAAUGCAGGGCAAUUCCCACACUGCAAGUCAGGAUGGGACUGGUCCCUGUCCCUCUGUUCCUGCAGUUUGCCAAAGCAGGUGAAUCAUGGGCUCAUGCUUGGCCAGGAGGAGAAGGGGCUUUUGGCACAUGCAAAGCUGCCCCAUAGCUGCAGUGGCGGGCAGAAUCAUAGAAUAGUUUAGGUUGGAAGGGAUCUUCAAAGGUCCUUUAGUCCAGCCCCCUGCAAUGUGCAGGGACAUCUUCAACUGGAUCAGGUUGCUCAGAGUGCCGUCCAGCCUGGCCUGGAAUGUUUCCAGGGAUGGGGCAUCUACCACCUCUCUGGGCAACCUGUUCUAUACCACAGGGGUGCCACCAUUCAGCCCGGAUCUCAGUCUAUCAGCAGGAUGCCAACAUCUGCAGAGUCCCCUCUGAAUGUCUGUGCCAGCGAAGGGCAGGUCACAGAGGCAGAGCUGUCACCUGUGCCCUGUGGCCAGCAGCGAGGACAGGGGAAUGGGAUUUACAGACCUUCUG